Molecule: long non-coding RNA, 1355 nt
Organism: Felis catus (domestic cat)
Lineage: Eukaryota; Metazoa; Chordata; Mammalia; Carnivora; Felidae
Exons: 3
Source: RefSeq, a predicted model, not a curated record
GGAGUGGGAUGGGUCUAACAGGAGGCAGGAGGAAUGACAGGGAGCAGCAGGUCUGGGUGGGCAUGUGAUGAGAGAGCUCUGACCACACCUUUCUGUGUCUGCUCAGGAACAACAAGAAGGAAGACAGCUCUGGUUGCAUUGGCAAAGGUAGAAGUUGAAUAUCAAGGAGAGCAUCCCAACUGUGCGCGAGGGCUGGGAAAGCCAGCCAGUGUUAUCUCGGGAAAUGUUACAGAGUCACCUUGAAUACAGCAGAGCUGGUAUUCAAACCCUGGCUUCAGAGUCCAUGCUCCUAACCACGAUGGAAGGACCAUUGAGUCAACAAGGCCAUUCAGAGGAGGCUUCUUGGAAGAGAUGUUGAUCCCCAGAGUCCCUCCCUAUCAACCUCCUGCGUGAUCCUCUCCGUCUCAGAGUCAAUGUCCAGGGGAAUUGGACCUUCAUACAGGAAAUCACUGAAGAUCAAGUCUGAUCCAAGUAUUGAGUUAGGAUUCUAGGUGGACAGUCUUAUCCCCAGUCCUAUAAAAAUGUCACUCUCCUCUCCUCUAGCUUGCAUUGUUUCUGUUGGGAAAUCUACACUUAUCCUUGUCUUUGUUUCCCUGUAUGUAAUGUCUGUUACUCUUCUGGCCACAUUUAAGAUUUUCUCUUUAUCACUGUUUUUAGAGCUAUUUGAUUAUAAUGUGACCUGCCACAGUUUUUGUUUUGUUUUCAUGUUUCUUGUGCUUGGGGUUUGUAUCUGUGAAUUUAUAGUUUUCAUCAGGUUUGGGAAAAUUUCAGCCAUUAUUUUCUCAAAUAUUUUUUCUGCCUUCUCUUUUUUCCCAGAGACUCCAAUUAGCCUGUUUAUGAGGCCACUUGAGUUUUCCAUAGCUCACUGAUGCUUGGUUAAUUUUCCCCCAGUCUUUUUUUCUCACUCUGUUUUGUGUGUGUGUGUGUGUGUGUUUAAGAUUUUAUUUUUAAGUAAUCCCUACACCCAACAUGGGGCUCGAACUUACAACCCUGAGAUCAAGAGUCACAUGCUCUACCAACUGAGCCAGCCAGGCACCCCUGUUUUGCAUAGUUUCUGCUGCUGUGUAUUCAAGUUCAUUAAUCUUACCUUUUGCAGGUGGUAUUAAUCCCAUUGGAUGUAUUUUUCAUUCUAGUAUACAUCUCUAGAAAUUCAAUCUGGGUCUUUACAAAAUCUUUCACGUUCAAUUUUCCUUCUAAUUUCUUAAGCAUAUGGAAUAGUUAUAAUAACUAUUUUAAUGUACUUGCCUAUGAAUUUUAUUAUCUGAAUGAUUUCUGGACCAGUUUCAGUUGCUUUUUCUUUUCACUCUUGUUUUUCACUAAUUUUUUAUUGGAUGCCAAAUAGUGUGAGUUUUACU